RNAcentral lists this ribosomal RNA (794 nucleotides) under uncultured bacterium. RNAcentral describes it as "bacterial SSU rRNA". It matches the Rfam family "Bacterial small subunit ribosomal RNA", at positions 60 to 825 of the family's 1533-position model. The record is from RNAcentral.
AGUCGUACGCUUCUUUUUCCACCGGAGCUUGCUCCACCGGAAAAAGAAGAGUGGCGAACGGGUGAGUAACACGUGGGUAACCUGCCCAUCAGAAGGGGAUAACACUUGGAAACAGGUGCUAAUACCGUAUAACAAUCGAAACCGCAUGGUUUUGAUUUGAAAGGCGCUUUCGGGUGUCGCUGAUGGAUGGACCCGCGGUGCAUUAGCUAGUUGGUGAGGUAACGGCUCACCAAGGCCACGAUGCAUAGCCGACCUGAGAGGGUGAUCGGCCACAUUGGGACUGAGACACGGCCCAAACUCCUACGGGAGGCAGCAGUAGGGAAUCUUCGGCAAUGGACGAAAGUCUGACCGAGCAACGCCGCGUGAGUGAAGAAGGUUUUCGGAUCGUAAAACUCUGUUGUUAGAGAAGAACAAGGAUGAGAGUAACUGUUCAUCCCUUGACGGUAUCUAACCAGAAAGCCACGGCUAACUACGUGCCAGCAGCCGCGGUAAUACGUAGGUGGCAAGCGUUGUCCGGAUUUAUUGGGCGUAAAGCGAGCGCAGGCGGUUUCUUAAGUCUGAUGUGAAAGCCCCCGGCUCAACCGGGGAGGGUCAUUGGAAACUGGGAGACUUGAGUGCAGAAGAGGAGAGUGGAAUUCCAUGUGUAGCGGUGAAAUGCGUAGAUAUAUGGAGGAACACCAGUGGCGAAGGCGGCUCUCUGGUCUGUAACUGACGCUGAGGCUCGAAAGCGUGGGGAGCAAACAGGAUUAGAUACCCUGGUAGUCCACGCCGUAAACGAUGAGUGCUAAGUGUUG